UACGUAGGGUGCAAGCGUUGUUCGGAAUCAUUGGGCGUAAAGCGCGUGUAGGCGGUUAGUUAAGUCGGGUGUGAAAUCCCUAGGCUCAACCAAGGAAGUGCAUCCGAAACUAAUUGGCUAGAAGACGGUAGAGGAAGGUGGAAUUCCAAGUGUAGAGGUGAAAUUCGUAGAUAUUUGGAGGAAUACCGGUGGCGAAAGCGGCCUUCUGGACCGUUCUUGACGCUGAGACGCGAAAGCGUGGGGAGCAAACAG
Molecule: ribosomal RNA, 252 nt
Filed under: uncultured bacterium
Lineage: Bacteria
Description: partial 16S ribosomal RNA
Rfam family: Bacterial small subunit ribosomal RNA
Source: RNAcentral